AGUAUGGAAACCAGGCCAGCCAGGGCGAGAGUGAAACCACAGCCGCCUUAGCUCCAUUUUGCUCUGUAUGGCAGGAGAGGGACCAGGUGAAGAUCUCGGCCCCCUCUGCCCUGGGCUACAUGUUGCAUCAAGUUGACAAAAUCAAGCCUGGACUCUCCACCCGAAGAGAGAUCUACACUUUUCUAGUCCCACUGCUGCUUAGCAUUCAGGAUAACAACACCGAGGUAGUCAAGGUGAGCACAAGCAAAAUACAGCUGGUGGGGGACUUACUGUCCCAGAGCUUUGGCUUCCUGAAGAGCCCUCAGUCCUUCCUACGGGCAGCUGCCAUCGACUUCACAGAAUUAACAGCUAAGAAGCUAAACAGGAGUCAAAUACAUGAGGAUGAUGUGGAGCUGUUACAGAAUGGUGAGUCCGAGCCUUGUCCCUGAGCUCUGGGUGACACAAGGCAAUGGGGCAAGACAGAAAGCGGGGGGGGGGGGGGGGCUCGACUCCUUA
Molecule: long non-coding RNA, 495 nt
Filed under: Zalophus californianus (California sea lion)
Lineage: Eukaryota; Metazoa; Chordata; Mammalia; Carnivora; Otariidae
Description: lncRNA (ENSZCAG00015010036.1)
Source: RNAcentral